UAAAAAUUCAAGGACAAAAUAUGUGCAAUAGUAGUUUGCACAAUCUGGAUUUUUAUUUUACAUAAUACUAUUCUGUGUUACCUGAAGUUUAAGAACAACCACAUAUUAUAUAUCUUAUAACCCAAUACUUGAAAAAAAUUAAGGAGAUGACAUACAACACAGCAAUACUAGGUUUUAAGCUUUGCAGAUGAUUUCCUCUUGCUUGCUAGGGGUGAUGUUGAUUCUGUUAAGAAGUUGCAUGAUUGCUUCCUCCUUUUUUCUACUGCAUCUGGGUUACCAAGUAAUCUGUCAAAAAGUUCUGCUUAUUUUGGAGUAGAAGUCAAUUCCACAACUGAAAUCUUGCAGAUACUUGGCUAUUCUUAUGGAGAGCUUCUUUUUUAAUAAUUACGGAUCUCUUUAGAUACAAAGAAGUUAACCAUGAUACUAUGGAAGGAGGUCAGCUCUGCAAAGUAUGGUAUGGAGAAUAGCUGGAUGACAAAUGUGGUGACAAUACCAUAUGGUUGUAGUGUAUGGAGAACAAUCAGAAAUCUAUGGCCUUUAGUCAUAAACAGAUCCAGUUACAAAGUUGGCAAUGGCCUGAAAGUUUCCUUCUGGGAUGACAAGUGGAUUGGUCAUGAACCUCUAAAGCAACUCUAUCCAGAUCUAUACACAUUAUGCCUUCAACAACAAGCUACAGUUGCUGAAUUAUGGACAGGACAAGGUUGGAAUUUACACCUCAGAAGACAUUUAAAUGACUGGGAAAUGGAAAGAAUAGCUUGCCUUCUACUCCACAGUUGAUCAAUUCAAUAAUUUAACAGGAGAAAGAGAUACUAUGGUUUGGAAGAUAGACAACAAAGGUUUGUUCACUGUAAAUUCUGCUUACAGAGACCUGAACACAUCAAACAACCAGGAGGUAGGAUGGCCAUGGAAGAUGAUAUGGAAAACUAAAAUACCUUACAAGAUCAGUUAUGGAAGAUAUUCAUCAGUCUGAGGAAGAUCAGGUGGGUGAAACCAGGGAGCAUUAAAGGAGUUCUUAGCUGCUGGAACAGAGAUGGCAAUGCUGCAAGACAGGAAGAGAGAUGGAAAAUUGUCCCAGCAUGUAUUUGGUGGACAAUAUGGAAAGAAAGAAAUCAGAGAUGUUUUGAGGGCAAACAAAGCGACCUACAGAAGUUUAAAAUGAAUUGUUUAGCUCUAUACUAUUUUUGGUGUAAACAGGAAGUUUUAGGUCAAACUGAAGAUAUUUUUGAUGUUUUAGAUUACUUUUAAGGAAGAAUAUAGAUAGGAGAUCAAGCUGUAAGGUGUAACAUUUUGAAAGGGGGACUACAUUCUUUUUGAUGUAGUAUACCUGUGGAUAUAUAGUUAACUGUUACCAUUAUCAAAAAAAAAGAAGAA
This is a long non-coding RNA of Lycium ferocissimum, 1371 nucleotides long. RefSeq lists it as uncharacterized. The transcript is spliced from 2 exons. The record is from RefSeq and is a predicted model, not a curated record. Lineage: Eukaryota; Viridiplantae; Streptophyta; Magnoliopsida; Solanales; Solanaceae.